UGAUUUUUUCCUUCUCAAAAUGCAUCAGGUAACAGUUCUUAGUUGGUAGAUCUUCCUGUGAAUUUUAUGAAAAUCUGAUUAGAAAAGUCAUUGUUGAUGACUCGAAGUUCUUGUUGAUGACUCGAAGUUCUUGUUGAUUGAGCAUAUACUGUUUUUUUGUUGACACCUGUUAUAUGGUCGUCAUUAUUGUCUUUUCUAACUCCAUCCUUAUAUUUAGAUGCUUAGCCCAUUUCUGGUUGAGAUUUGCAAG
Molecule: long non-coding RNA, 250 nt
Filed under: Arabidopsis lyrata
Lineage: Eukaryota; Viridiplantae; Streptophyta; Magnoliopsida; Brassicales; Brassicaceae
Description: long non-coding RNA (ALYR_LNC002938)
Source: RNAcentral